This 253-nucleotide ribosomal RNA is filed under the name uncultured bacterium. RNAcentral's name for it is "partial 16S ribosomal RNA". It matches the Rfam family "Bacterial small subunit ribosomal RNA", at positions 524 to 776 of the family's 1533-position model. The record is from RNAcentral.
UACGAAGGGGGCUAGCGUUGUUCGGAAUUACUGGGCGUAAAGCGCACGUAGGCGGAAUGUUAAGUCAGGGGUGAAAUCCCGGGGCUCAACCCCGGAACUGCCUUUGAUACUGGCAUUCUCGAGUCCGGAAGAGGUGAGUGGAAUUCCGAGUGUAGAGGUGAAAUUCGUAGAUAUUAGGAAGAACACCAGUGGCGAAGGCGGCUCACUGGCCCGGUACUGACGCUGAGGCGCGAAAGCGUGGGGAGCAAACAGG